GACCCGUCUUGAAACACGGUCUAAGGAGUUCACUGCAUGUGCAAGAGUUCGACUGUAUGAAAAGUCUUGCUCGUAAUGAAAGUAAAGAACAUUCUUGCAAUGUUUUAAGUGUGAUUUCUGUCAUUUGGUGCAAAUCAUGACAAUGAACGCAACACUGACAGGUUCUAUUGCCGUUGGCAAAGAGCUUAGUAAGAGUAUAUGCAAUGAGACCCGAAAGAUGGUGAACUUAAUGUGUGUAGAAUGAAGCCAGGGGAAACCCUGGUGGAAGUUCGUAGCGGUUCUGACGUGCAAAUCGAUCGUCAAACAUGCAUUAAGGGGCGAAAGACUAAUCGAACCAUCUAGUAGCUGGUUCCGUCCGAAGUUUCCCUCAGGAUAGCUGGCGCUCAUUUUUUACAGUUAUAUCCGGUAAAGCGAAUGUUUAGAGGCAUUGGGCGUAAAAUACGCUCAACCUAUUGACAAACUUUAAAUGGGUAUGAAGUUCAUUUUUCUACUUCAUUUGAGAAUGAACAACGAAUGUGAGUGCCAAGUGGGCCAUUUUUGGUAAGCAGAACUGGCGCUGUUGGAUGCACAAAACGUCAAGAUAAAGAGCCAGAUGGUCUCGCUCACCAGAUACCAUAAAAGGUGUUGGUCGAUAUAGACAGCAGGACGGUGGCCAUGGAAGUCGGAAUCCGCUAAGGAGUGUGU
This 684-nucleotide ribosomal RNA is filed under the name uncultured Rotifera. RNAcentral's name for it is "LSU rRNA". It matches the Rfam family "Eukaryotic large subunit ribosomal RNA", at positions 646 to 1283 of the family's 3401-position model. The record is from RNAcentral. Lineage: Eukaryota; Metazoa; Rotifera.